This 313-nucleotide long non-coding RNA is filed under the name Gossypium raimondii (Peruvian cotton). RNAcentral's name for it is "long non-coding RNA (GRAI_LNC006746)". Lineage: Eukaryota; Viridiplantae; Streptophyta; Magnoliopsida; Malvales; Malvaceae. The record is from RNAcentral.
GCAGAGACGAGAGAGAAGGGGAGAGGGUUAGCGGAGGGACGAAUCAGAGUAGGGGGAGGGAUGGUGAGGAAGAGGGAGAGGGAUGGGAGAGCAAUGGUAGAGGGAGAGAAAAGGACGGAAAAUGACAGCUCCGUUAAGUCUGUAAUGGAAAAUGGUUAAUGGUGACUGAUUUGUUUUUUUAUUGUUUUAAGUUUAGCAACUGAAUUAAAAGUUGAGUGACCAAUUUGUCAUUGAGAUCAAAGUUAAGUGACUAUUGAUGUAAUUUACCUACAUAAUUUAUGAAGGAAUAUGUAUCUUACAUGAUAUAUGUGAG